UUAGAUGUGAGGUUGGGGCACUGGAGAAAAGCGGAAGGAAUGAGAAAGGCCUAUUCUGCUUUUCUGCCCUCGUGGGUGGGUGUACCCUUGCCCAGAAGUCGGCGAACAGGUGAAAACUGCCUUCAAAUCAUGCCUCCGUCUUGAAGAACCACGCAGAACCACGCGUAAGCCCUUCCCCUCAAUGUCUGCCUGCUCUCCAAAGAUCCUGAAGGAGCAGGUUAUGCUUUCCAGGCUGUUGCCUGGAGCCCCUAAGACUGAAAUAUCAGUGAGAGCACAGGGGUGUGGCGUGAAUCAGAUAACCGGACCUGCAGGAGAGGAGAGAGAAUCAGCUCCACAUCUGGAGUCCAAAGGUCUCUUCUCUACUCAGCCCCUAAUACAGCCCCCCUCUCUGGGUCCAGUCUCUUCAUCUGAAUAAACACUAAGGUAACACGUG
Non-coding RNA from Peromyscus maniculatus bairdii (prairie deer mouse), 433 nucleotides. The record is from RefSeq and is a predicted model, not a curated record. Lineage: Eukaryota; Metazoa; Chordata; Mammalia; Rodentia; Cricetidae.